AUGAAUUUAUUGGAUUACAAGGUUAGCAAGCAUGGAGUGCACAAGGUGCUGAUCGAAGCCUCGGUGGGCAUGCAUCGGCUAAGGGACUAUCCGGUGACAAAGUUGUUUGGUGUGGAAAUUCAAAGAAUCAUGUAUCAACUCCUAAAGGGAGUAGCCCAUAUCCCCAGUAAGGUUGUCAUGCACAAGGCAUUGACACCCAAAAAUGUCUACUUCAACAGCUAUGGCACACAACGAUGUUUUGAAGAGUUAGGGUUAGGGAUUUUGUAUUUGGUCUAAUAG
Molecule: long non-coding RNA, 279 nt
Filed under: Prunus dulcis (almond)
Lineage: Eukaryota; Viridiplantae; Streptophyta; Magnoliopsida; Rosales; Rosaceae
Description: sRNA ncRNA
Source: RNAcentral